This 254-nucleotide ribosomal RNA is filed under the name uncultured bacterium. RNAcentral describes it as "partial 16S ribosomal RNA". It matches the Rfam family "Bacterial small subunit ribosomal RNA", at positions 524 to 776 of the family's 1533-position model. The record is from RNAcentral.
UACGUAGGUGGCAAGCGUUGUCCGGAUUUACUGGGCGUAAAGAGCGCGCAGGCGGUCGUUCAAGUCGCGUGUGAAAGCCCCCGGCUCAACUGGGGAGGGUCACGCGAUACUGAUCGACUCGAAGGCAGGAGAGGGUAGUGGAAUUCCCGGUGUAGUGGUGAAAUGCGUAGAUAUCAGGAGGAACACCGGUGGCGAAGGCGGGGUCUCUGGGCAACAACUGACGCUGAGGAGCGAAAGCGUGGGGAGCGAACAGG